CCUACGGGGCGCAGCAGUGGGGAAUAUUGGACAAUGGGCGAAAGCCUGAUCCAGCCAUGCCGCGUGUGUGAAGAAGGCCUUCGGGUUGUAAAGCACUUUCAGUGGGGAAGAAAGCCUUGGGGCUAAUACCCUCGAGGAAGGACAUCACCCACAGAAGAAGCACCGGCUAACUCCGUGCCAGCAGCCGCGGUAAUACGGAGGGUGCGAGCGUUAAUCGGAAUUACUGGGCGUAAAGCGCGCGUAGGCGGUCUGAUAAGCCGGUUGUGAAAGCCCCGGGCUCAACCUGGGAACGGCAUCCGGAACUGUCAGGCUAGAGUGCAGGAGAGGAAGGUAGAAUUCCCGGUGUAGCGGUGAAAUGCGUAGAGCUCGGGAGGAAUACCAGUGGCGAAGGCGGCCUUCUGGACUGACACUGACGCUGAGGUGCGAAAGCGUGGGUAGCAAACAGGAUUAGAUACCCGAGUAGUC
RNAcentral lists this ribosomal RNA (465 nucleotides) under Vreelandella stevensii. RNAcentral's name for it is "partial 16S ribosomal RNA". It matches the Rfam family "Bacterial small subunit ribosomal RNA", at positions 338 to 795 of the family's 1533-position model. Lineage: Bacteria; Pseudomonadati; Pseudomonadota; Gammaproteobacteria; Oceanospirillales; Halomonadaceae. The record is from RNAcentral.